AACGAACGCUGGCGGCAUGCCUAACACAUGCAAGUCGAACGAGACCUUCGGGUCUGGUGGCGCACGGGUGCGUAACGCGUGGGAACCUGCCCUUAGGUUCGGAAUAACUCCCCGAAAGGGGUGCUAAUACCGGAUAAUGUCUUCGGACCAAAGAUUUAUCGCCUUUGGAUGGGCCCGCGUUGGAUUAGCUAGUUGGUAGGGUAAAAGCCUACCAAGGCGACGAUCCAUAGCUGGUCUGAGAGGAUGAUCAGCCACACUGGGACUGAGACACGGCCCAGACUCCUACGGGAGGCAGCAGUGGGAAAUAUUGGACAAUGGGCGAAAGCCUGAUCCAGCAAUGCCGCGUGAGUGAUGAAGGCCUUAGGGUUGUAAAGCUCUUUUACCCGGGAUGAUAAUGACAGUACCGGGAGAAUAAGCUCCGGCUAACUCCGUG
This 433-nucleotide ribosomal RNA is filed under the name uncultured bacterium. Its description in RNAcentral is "partial 16S ribosomal RNA". It matches the Rfam family "Bacterial small subunit ribosomal RNA", at positions 29 to 507 of the family's 1533-position model. The record is from RNAcentral.